RNAcentral lists this ribosomal RNA (609 nucleotides) under Perenniporia fraxinea. Its description in RNAcentral is "eukaryotic LSU rRNA". It matches the Rfam family "Eukaryotic large subunit ribosomal RNA", at positions 57 to 650 of the family's 3401-position model. Lineage: Eukaryota; Fungi; Basidiomycota; Agaricomycetes; Polyporales; Polyporaceae. The record is from RNAcentral.
AAAAGAAACUAACAAGGAUUCCCCUAGUAACUGCGAGUGAAGCGGGAAAAGCUCAAAUUUAAAAUCUGGCGGUCUUCGGCCGUCCGAGUUGUAGUCUGGAGAAGUGCUUUCCGCGCUGGACCGUGUAUAAGUCUCUUGGAACAGAGCGUCAUAGAGGGUGAGAAUCCCGUCUUUGACACGGACUACCAGUGCUUUGUGAUGCGCUCUCAAAGAGUCGAGUUGUUUGGGAAUGCAGCUCAAAAUGGGUGGUGAAUUCCAUCUAAAGCUAAAUAUUGGCGAGAGACCGAUAGCGAACAAGUACCGUGAGGGAAAGAUGAAAAGCACUUUGGAAAGAGAGUUAAACAGUACGUGAAAUUGCUGAAAGGGAAACGCUUGAAGUCAGUCGCGUCGUCCAGAACUCAGCCUCGCUCUCGCUUGGUGCACUUUCUGGAUGACGGGCCAGCAUCGAUUUUGACCGUCGGAAAAGGGCUGGGGUAAUGUGGCACCUCCGGGUGUGUUAUAGACUGCAGUCGCAUACGACGGUCGGGAUCGAGGUUCGCAGCGCGCCGCAAGGCAGGGGUUCGCCCACUUUCGCGCUUAGGAUGCUGGCAUAAUGGCUUUAAACGACCC